This 513-nucleotide long non-coding RNA is filed under the name Homo sapiens (human). Its description in RNAcentral is "HSALNT0170283". The record is from RNAcentral. Lineage: Eukaryota; Metazoa; Chordata; Mammalia; Primates; Hominidae.
UACUUAUAGUUUUUCUCGAGGAAAUUUAUCUGAUAAUCAAAUACAUACAUUUUGAAAUUCCCUUUUCAAAGCAGUUAUUCCAGCAUGUUUUGGCAUGAAGUCGAGUGGAUGGAUUCAGGCUAAUGCAGCUGUCUUUUCUUGCUUGGCUUGCAGUGGCUGUUUGGUGGCCAUUCUCCGUCCCUAGGACUGCCCCCCUCUUCCACAGUGGAGCUGGUGCCCGUCUUCCCACAUCUCUGCCCUUCUGCUCUUGCAACCCCUAUUGGGAAAAGUUGGAUAGACAAAAGGAUUCCUAACUGUAAGAUCUUUUUUAAUAAUUCCUUUGCUCUGGACUCAACGUGGAUACAUCCUGAGGAGUCAAGGUUUUUCCAUGGGCAUGAAAAGCCUCGUUUGCUGGCAAAUCAAGUAGCUGUGUCUCUGUCCAGGCCGGCUCCUGCCUCCAGGCCGCUCCCCACGGUGGUGUUAGCACCUCAGCCCAUCCCAGAACUAAGGGGCACCAUCAACCCAGGAGCAGAC